Molecule: ribosomal RNA, 472 nt
Filed under: uncultured bacterium
Lineage: Bacteria
Description: bacterial SSU rRNA
Rfam family: Bacterial small subunit ribosomal RNA
Source: RNAcentral
UGGGGAAUUUUGGACAAUGGGCGAAAGCCUGAUCCAGCCAUACCGCGUGAGUGAAGAAGGCCUUCGGGUUGUAAAGCUCUUUCAGCCGGAAAGAAAUCCUGCUUACUAAUACUAAGCGGGGAUGACGGUACCGGAAGAAGAAGCACCGGCUAACUACGUGCCAGCAGCCGCGGUAAUACGUAGGGUGCGAGCGUUAAUCGGAAUUACUGGGCGUAAAGCGUGCGCAGGCGGCAUGAUAAGCCAGAUGUGAAAUCCCCGGGCUUAACCUGGGAACUGCAUUUGGAACUGUCAAGCUAGAGUGUAGCAGAGGGGGGUAGAAUUCCACGUGUAGCAGUGAAAUGCGUAGAGAUGUGGAGGAAUACCGAUGGCGAAGGCAGCCCCCUGGGCUAACACUGACGCUCAUGCACGAAAGCGUGGGGAGCAAACAGGAUUAGAUACCCAAGUAGUCCCUGAGCGGGCUGGCAAGGCGCAU